CUCUUUUUGAGAUAAAUCAUUCAAGUUUCUGCCCUAUCAGCUUUCGAUGGUAGUGUAUUGGACUACCAUGGCAGUAACGGGUAACGAAGAAUUAGGGUUCGAUUUCGGAGAGGGAGCAUGAGAAACGGCUACCACAUCUAAGGAAGGCAGCAGGCGCGUAAAUUACCCAAUCCUGACUCAGGGAGGUAGUGACAAGAAAUAGCAAACCGGGAACCUCAUGGUUUCACGGUAUUGCAAUGAGAACAAUUUAAAACCCUUAGCGAGAAUCAAGUGGAGGACAAGUCUGGUGCCAGCACCCGCGGUAAUUCCAGCUCCACUAGCGUAUAUUAAUGUUGUUGCAGUUAAAAAGCUCGUAGUUGAACCUCUGUCUGGGGCUAGUUUUGGCUUUGGUCAGGCUAGUUCUAGGCAUCCGCCUACAAGACUUAGAGGGCAUUCAGUUGUUCACUAGGAGGAGUAGGCAUUUUACUUUGAAAAAAUUAGAGUGUUUAAGGCAGGCAAUCGCCCGCAUAUAUUAGCAUGGAAUAAUAGAAUAGGACACUUUUCCAUUUCGUUGGUUAUUGGAAUCGUGUAAUGAUUAAUAGGGACAGUUGUGGGCAUUUGUAUUUAAUUGUCAGAGGUGAAAUUCUUGGAUUUAUUAAAGACAAACUAACGCGAAAGCAUUUGCCAAGGAUGUUUUCAUUAAUCAAGAACGAAAGUUAGGGGAUCAAAGACGAUCAGAUACCGUCCUAGUCUUAACUAUAAACUAUUCCGACUCAAUGUUUGACUGGCUUAUAUAACCAGUUGAGCGUUGUAUGAGAAAUCAAAGUCUUUAGGUUCUGGGGGGAGUAUGGUUGCAAAGCUGAAACUUAAAGGAAUUGACGGAAGAGCACAACCAGGAGUGGAUUCUGCGGCUUAAUUUGACUCAACACGGGGAAACUUACCAGGUUAAAACAAUAGUGGGAUUGACAGUUUGAGAGCGCUUUCUUGAUUGGUUGGGUGGUGGUGCAUGGCCGUUCUUAGUUGGUGGAGUGAUUUGUCUGCUUAAUUGCGUUAACGAACGAGACCUUAACCUGCUUACUAGACUGGCGAUCAUCAAUCGUUAGCUCUUCUUAGAGGGACUUUGGUUGUUUUAACUCCAAGGAAGUUUGAGGCAAUAACAGGUCUGUGAUGCCCUUAGAUAUCCUGGGCCGCACGCGUCAUACAAUGACUAGUUCAGAAAGUUUUCUCCUGACCCGAAAGGGGAUGGGUAAUCUUGAUAAUACUAGUCGUGUUAGGGAUCGAUCUUUGCAAUUAUAGAUCUUGAACGAGGAAUUCCUAGUAAGUGCGGUUCAUCAGACCGUACUGAUUACGUCCCUGCUCUUUGUACACACCGCCCGUCGCUUCUACCGAGUGGGUGGUCCGGUGA
RNAcentral lists this ribosomal RNA (1384 nucleotides) under metagenome. RNAcentral's name for it is "SSU rRNA". It matches the Rfam family "Eukaryotic small subunit ribosomal RNA", at positions 270 to 1704 of the family's 1831-position model. The record is from RNAcentral.